RNAcentral lists this ribosomal RNA (181 nucleotides) under Fritzschia lanceiflora. RNAcentral's name for it is "Comolia lanceiflora partial 28S ribosomal RNA". It matches the Rfam family "Eukaryotic large subunit ribosomal RNA", at positions 1 to 180 of the family's 3401-position model. The record is from RNAcentral. Lineage: Eukaryota; Viridiplantae; Streptophyta; Magnoliopsida; Myrtales; Melastomataceae.
GCGAUCCCAGGUCAGGCGGGGCCACCCGCUGAGUUUAAGCAUAUCAAUAAGCGGAGGAAAAGAAACUAACGAGGAUUCCCUUAGUAGCGGCGAGCGAACCGGGAGGAGCCCAGCAUGAAAAUCGUUCGCCGUCGGCGGCCGAAUUGUAGUCUGGAGAAGCGUCCUCAGUGACGGACCGGGC